Molecule: long non-coding RNA, 2832 nt
Organism: Adelges cooleyi (spruce gall adelgid)
Lineage: Eukaryota; Metazoa; Arthropoda; Insecta; Hemiptera; Adelgidae
Exons: 10
Source: RefSeq, a predicted model, not a curated record
GCCAACUACCAGUGGCCUUAGCUGGUGUAUAAAGUAAAAAAAAAUGGUUAAAUAUUCUUUAAGAUACGACUUAACGCGGGUAACAAGUAAAAUGCAAUUAUUUUCGGGCAAGAUCCAAAUGCAUCGUCCACGUCUAUGACGACUUCGUCGGUCGAUUUCUAAUACUAGAAAACAAGAAUCGGCAUUAUGUGAUCAAAAUCACAUUCAAUAUACAUUAUAAUUUGAUUUAACGGAUGCGACUGUAAAUUAGUAAUAAUUUUGUGGACGAGAACAAACACAAAAAUCAUCAUGAUUGGUGGAAAUGUCGAAGAAAAAUGUAAUAAGAAGAAAGAAUUAUUAAAAACAAUAAUUAAAAUAGUACAGGACCAUAGUACAACACACUGUUGUGUUCGACGAAGGCGAUAUUACAAGCUUAAAAAGAUCUGCGUUGUAUUUAAAAAGUGGAAAACAUUUCGUUGUUAGUACAACUCUCGAUCAACUUCCCCUUACUCAUCCCGUACAUAUUACUAACCCAACACGAAACACAAUUGUUUAUGGACGUAGGAGUUGAUGAAAGGAUAAAAAAUCUGAUGGGGAAAGUGGAGAGGAAGAAAUAUUAGAAAUGGAAGAAAAAGACAUUGGUUAAAUGGUGUGCAUAAUAAUAAUGGUGUUUUGAAGAUUUCUACCGAAAACUCGACUGCUUGAUGCUAAGUCAUCCCAGAAGAGUGAAAUCUCAAAGCAGAUUUAGUUGCAGUAUCAUUCAGGAUGUGGAUUAAGCUUUACCUGGCACAUCUACCUCAAGCAGUUCCGUGAUUGUUCAGUAAUUUCAACUCACUAAAUGUUUAAACUAACUUUAGUUGCCUCAUUCCAAAUUUAAAGAUGAGCUACUGACAAGACCAAGAAAUGUAUCUAUGAGCCCCAUGAGUUCUUACGUGGUGCCAUGUGGAUCGACAGUAGAGGUAGCAAAUAAAAUCAAAAGAUCUGAAAAGAAAAAAUCCACCAGGAAGAAAAAUGAAGAUAAAGAUGAUAAUAAGCCUGUAUUGAACGAUUCUCUAAUCAAAUACUUUAUAUUAGACUGACCUACACUUAACAUUUAAUCUAGGAGAUAAUUUGGUUGUUUGAUAUAGUGAUACACAUACUACUACUUACUAAAGUUCUUAAUGUAUGCAACAUUGAAGGAUAUUACUACGGCCGUUACAAAGGAUGGAAUACUCAUUACUCGUUAGGACAAAUGGAUCAAUUUAACACGCAUUGCAUUGAAAUCUAAACCACCAGAACCAGAUCUUGAUAACGACGGUGACGAUUCUUUACAAAACACUAGAAAUGGAUUCGGCUCAACGUCAAGUGGUGAUUUUUGGCUAAAAUCAACAAACAUCAAAAAGAUUACACCAUGGUCAAAGCGCGCAUUAUGGUGGUGGAUCGCAGGUGAAAGUAGAGCAGGAAACGCAAAAGAGAACUGGCGAAGAAAAACGCCGCAGUGAAAUAAACCGAACAAACAGUCGACAGCUGUUGCAACCAAAUAAUUCUCUCACCUAAUAACAAUACAUUUUAAUAUCGUACUCGCUUGAAAAAAAAUUAUACUGCACAAGUGUGUUUCUAGAUAUUUCGCAGGCCUUUGAUAGGGUAUGGUUUGACGGCCUCCUAUAUAAAUUUAAAAACAAUUUGCAUCCCACUUAUUACCUGUUUUUCAAAUCUUAUUUAACAGAUCGUUUUUUCCAAAUCCGUCAUGGUUCUUCAGUAUCUGAUAUAGCCUCUAUAAAAGCGGGAGUUCCACAAGGAGGUAUUCUAUCUCCAGUCCUAUUCAAUAUCUAUACCUCAGACCAACCCACAACUCCUAACACAAUUGUUGCAGAUUAUGCUGAUGACAAAGCCAUUUUGUCCUGUUACUCUGACCCACAAAUUGCAUCCGUCAAUUUGCAAAAUCAUCUUCAUUUAAUGGAAGACUGGUACACAAAAUGGCGUUUUAAAAUUAAUCAAUCAAAAUCAGUUCAUACUAUUUUUACUCUAAGACUUCUCCCUUGUCCUGGUGUCUCCCUAUACGGAGUACAAAUCUCCUCCUCUUCCUCUGUCAAGUAUCUCGGUCUCACACUAGAUAAACGACUCACAUGGGCUCAGCACAUUAAAAUUAAACGUUUGUCUCUAAAUAGCCGUCCGCGGUUACUCAAAUCAUUAAUAAACAUUAGUAAACAAUAAAUUAAUAAUCAUUAGUAAACAAUAAAUUUACAGAUAUUAAUACAAAACUUCUUAUUUAUAAAACCCAUAUGGACUUAUGGCCUUCAGCUAUGAUGGGGCAAUGCUAAAAAAUCCAAUACCAAUAAAAUUCAAUGCUUUCAAAAUAAUGUCUUAAGAAAAUUAAUCAAUGCACCUCCUUAUAUCUCUAAUUAUACACUCCAUAACGACCUUAACUUAAAAACAGUCCUUGAAGAAGCUAUCUCCUACUAUAAAAGAUUCCACAUUAAACUACUCUCCCACUCUAAUCCCCUUAUAAAAAACCUCUCAACCUUGUCCAUACCUGGAGACCCACCCAGACCUUUAAAACGUAAGUGGUGCCGUGAUCUUCUAUCUAAUAAUAUCAAUUAAUAUUAAUGCAUAAUUAGAUCAAUGUAAAUAUAAGUUUAAAAAUUAAAAAAAAAAAAAAAUCAUUGGAAGUGUCACUAAUGAGUGGUUUCUUCCAUCAAAAUGUACUCAUGUAAUUUAUCUCUACUUUUAUCAUAUAUGCUUAUUGUGCUCGUUGUACAGAUUGUAUAUUUCUGUUGUAAAAUAAAAAAAAAUUUUUUUUUUUAUAAUUAACCCCCUAGUUUUACAUAAUUGUCAGAGUGGCUCCGUAAUGACAAUCGAUUUGUUGUUAAUACU